Molecule: small nuclear RNA, 114 nt
Organism: Lepisosteus oculatus (spotted gar)
Lineage: Eukaryota; Metazoa; Chordata; Actinopteri; Semionotiformes; Lepisosteidae
Gene: U5
Rfam family: U5 spliceosomal RNA
About the family: U5 RNA is a component of both types of known spliceosome.
Source: Ensembl
CAACUCUGGUUUCUCUUCAUCUCGUACAAAUCUUUUGCCUUUUACUAAAGAUUUCCGUGGAGAGGAGCAUGAAUGAGUUCCGUGCGAGUUUUUUUUCUCCUUGCCUUCAGGUGG